Non-coding RNA from Cinara cedri, 410 nucleotides. The record is from the annotation of a GenBank genome assembly. NCBI's taxonomy places the organism in Eukaryota, Metazoa, Arthropoda, Insecta, Hemiptera, Aphididae.
AUAAUAAUAUAGUAAUAUUAUUUUAUAUUGCGAUUUUGUAUAAACAAAUAAUUUGUUAAACAAAUAAUUUGUUAAUCAAAAAGGCCAGUGCCAAAAUAGCAAGUACCAAAACAUUUUAGACUGUUAUUCCAUAGCUUUUCAUGUAGAGAAAACUCAGCUGGCAGUGAUAUUUAUUAUUAACUAGAUUGAAAUAAGAAGGGAAUCAUUUUUAGUGGUGGACAUUAUAUCUAGGUAUCGCUAAGUUGUGAUCAUAUACUAACAUAUUUAGCCAUGGAAAUAACUACUAGUCAGAACAAGAAACAUAUCCUUAUAGGAUAUAAGAAUUUUAUUUGAUUUUAAAUGUUUUUUUUUUACUUUUUGUCUGUGCAACUUUUCUACUAGCAAUUUUGCUCCAAUCAUUAACUUCAGUG